CCUACGGGUGGCAGCAGUGGGGAAUAUUGCGCAAUGGGCGAAAGCCUGACGCAGCGACGCCGCGUGAGGGAUGAAUGUCUUCGGAUCGUAAACCUCUGUCAGCAGGGAAGAACGGUCACUGUGCUAAUCAGUAGUGAAUUGACGGUACCUACAAAGGAAGCCCCGGCUAACUCCGUGCCCGCAGCCGCGGUAAGACGGAGGGGGCGAGCGUUAAUCGGAUUGACUGGGCGUAAAGGGAUCGUAGGCGGGAUGUCAAGUCAAGGGUGAAAUCCCCGCGCUCAACGGUGGAACUGCCUUUGAAACUGGCAAACUGGAGUGCGGGAGAGGAUAGGGGAAUUCGAGGUGUAGCAGUGAAAUCCGUAGAUAUCUGGAGGAACAUCAGUGGCGAAGGCGACUAUCUGGCACAUAACUGACGCUGAGGAGCGAAAGCGUGGGUAGCAAACAGGAUUAGAUACCCGAGUAGUC
Molecule: ribosomal RNA, 465 nt
Filed under: uncultured bacterium
Lineage: Bacteria
Description: partial 16S ribosomal RNA
Rfam family: Bacterial small subunit ribosomal RNA
Source: RNAcentral